CAUGUGUACCCCAAAUGUGGAUUUUUAAAAAGUCAAUUAGAUUUGGAGCAUUAGAUGGAACUCUUGGUUACAAGGGACAGAAGCAAUUUAAUCAGCAAGUAGUUAGCAGUAAGAUCUGAUAGGGCUGGAAAUAAACUCUCAAAAUCAAAUGCCAAAACUCACUUCUAAGGACAAAGCCCCAUACUAAUAAGAUGCUGGGAAAAUAAUCCAAGUUGAAUGCCACAAAGACAACCUGGUUCAUUCCAGAGGAAGCAUAAAAGGCAUGAACUCAGUCUUUUAAAACAUGCUUUUUAGAUAUUGAGUAAUAAACAUACAAUACAAGUAAAAAUUAAAAUGCUACUGAAAUUUGUAGAGACCACAGCUGCUUUUAUUAAAGGACAGAAAAAUAUAAGUUUAGGAGAUCAAUAAUAUUAUUAUGUAAUAGCUUUUUAACAGGAUAGACAAAUAUUUAAAGGAAAGGAAACUAAAGCAGUAUUUAAAUCAAAGGAAGUGGCCGAUUAGAAGAGACUUGGUAAGAGUCAACUUACUGUAUGUUUUUGUUUCCCAGCAUUACUCACACCAGGUUGUAGCAUGUUUUUGAGAGAGCAGCUGGGAUUGAGUAUACUCUUGAUUUAAAUAUGUUUGUUUAUAAAGACAAAUAGAGAAAUCAGUUUUUUCUAAUGGAUUCUUAGGCACAGUUAAGUGAAUGAAGAACCUGACAGUAUGCUAUCCCACACGUUUAAGGACAGAGGUUAGUGUAACACACUGCUUUCAUAUUUCAUGUUCUGUUUCGUAAAUUACUGACUUUAUAACUCCUGACCUUCUGUACUUAUUAAUGUCAAGUUUUAAGAGUAAAAUUAUGGUAUAUUAAGCAAUUUUUUUCUCAUACAUUUCUAACUUUAUUUUUUGUUUGUGGGGGACAUUUCCUUAUUAUAAUGAUAGCACAGGUGUCUGGAGAAAUAAGCAAGAUUAUAGAGGAGUUUUCUUAAUUGACUGAAGCCCUGAAUAAUUUGAAACCAUUUUGAACUACUUGCAUCAUGGACAGCUCAUUAUAAAUGAAGGCAUUAAUUUAUUGGAACAGGGACAUGCGAGCUUGCUGGGGAACGAGGCACAAGGAGCAGAGCCAAAACCACAAGUUUAUUCCAGCCAAGUCAGACAUCUCUUGGCCAACUGUCAGUCAGGGGAGACUCUGAAAACUGCCCAUUUGAGGUUAGUCCAACUCGUUGAAUCCAGAACUCAUGACGUAUGUAAUUAUUGUAUGACCUUAAAGCUGAGUAGGUUUUUUUUGGUACAUAGCAUUGUCGUGACAAUAUAAAACUGAUACUUUAAAUAUAUUCAUUACAUUUUAGUUGUGUGCUAGACAUAGUUUAUUUUUAAAAAUUAGAUGCUUCAUUUGACAAUAUCUACAAGAGAGAAUCAACACUUUGCUAAUCAAAGACUAGAGGCUCAUUAUCUUGUUAUUUAUGAACUUAACUGGAUCAAGGCUGGGUUAAAGUUUCAUUAAAACUUCAUCUAUCUCUGGUUAGUUCCUGUCCCGAAGAAUAUGGAUUUCAAGGGUUUAUUUGAAAUCACGAUGAUUUCGGCUCCUCAGUACCCAGAAAUCUGGACCCUUGGCUUUGCUUCUCAGAGAAAUCAGACAUCUCUAGUUCAACUACCAGUCAGGGGAGACACUGCAAACUGCCCAUUUGAGGUUCGGACACACAGAAGGUGCCUCUGUGAAAAACUAAGCCCUCACCACACACUGAAUCAGCCAGCACCUUGAUCUUGGAUUUCCAAGACUCCAGAACUAUCAACGAAAAAUGUCUACUGUUUGUAAAUUACCCAGUCUCAAAUAUUUUGUUAUAGAAACUCAAAUGGACUUAAACACAUGUAUUUAGCUGAUACAACAAUAACAGUGUGAAGGGAAAACAGUUUAAUAAGCAAUAAAUUGAAAGAAAAAAUAUUUGGUUAAUUCUUUUUUUUUUAAGUGAUGCAGAU
This is a long non-coding RNA of Cercocebus atys (sooty mangabey), 1956 nucleotides long. RefSeq lists it as uncharacterized. The transcript is spliced from 3 exons. NCBI's taxonomy places the organism in Eukaryota, Metazoa, Chordata, Mammalia, Primates, Cercopithecidae. The record is from RefSeq and is a predicted model, not a curated record.